UAGGGAAUCUUCCACAAUGGGCGCAAGCCUGAUGGAGCAACACCGCGUGAGUGAAGAAGGGUUUCGGCUCGUAAAGCUCUGUUGUUAAAGAAGAACACGUAUGAGAGUAACUGUUUACCCAGUGACGGUAUUUAACCAGAAAGCCACGGCUAACUACGUGCCGG
Molecule: ribosomal RNA, 164 nt
Filed under: uncultured bacterium
Lineage: Bacteria
Description: partial 16S ribosomal RNA
Rfam family: Bacterial small subunit ribosomal RNA
Source: RNAcentral